AGAGCGAACGUUGGCGAUGCGUCUUAAGCAUGCAAGUCGAGCGGGCUUAUUCGGGCAACUGGAUAAGUUAGCGGCGAACUGGUGAGUAACACGUAGGUAAUCUGCCGUGAAGCGGGGGAUAACCCAUGGAAACAUGGACUAAUACCGCAUAUACUCUUGCUACAUAAGUAGAGUAGAGGAAAGUUUUUCGCUUCACGAUGAGCCUGCGGCCUAUUAGCCUGUUGGUAGGGUAAUGGCCUACCAAAGCUACGAUAGGUAGCCGACCUGAGAGGGUGACCGGCCACAUUGGGACUGAGAUACGGCCC
RNAcentral lists this ribosomal RNA (305 nucleotides) under Brachyspira pilosicoli. RNAcentral's name for it is "bacterial SSU rRNA". It matches the Rfam family "Bacterial small subunit ribosomal RNA", at positions 26 to 332 of the family's 1533-position model. The record is from RNAcentral. Lineage: Bacteria; Pseudomonadati; Spirochaetota; Spirochaetia; Brachyspirales; Brachyspiraceae.